Long non-coding RNA from Apteryx rowi (Okarito brown kiwi), 1838 nucleotides. NCBI's taxonomy places the organism in Eukaryota, Metazoa, Chordata, Aves, Apterygiformes, Apterygidae. The record is from Ensembl.
AUUCUCCAUUUCCCCUCCCAAAUCUGUAAGGGAGCCUUUUGUGUGCAAGAGGAUAAAGGAUAAGCCAAUGAGCCUCUGUAAGAACAACACUUCAGGGUGACAUAAAGAUGCUAUUCGCCAUUCUGCAAAAUUUCUUCCAUUCCUGCUCUCUGAGCAGGGUGAAUACAUGAGGCUCACUCCUCCUUGCACUGCUCACACAAAUAGUUGUAUUGAAAUCAGCGGACAAGUCAAGGAAGACUGAUGGGCUUUGGCACUUCCUGGCUAAGACCCCACUCUCACACUCAUGUGAAAGCAGUUCCCUUGCCACAAGGCACUGCCUAAAAUCUUAGGUUCCUACUUUUGAAUAAUGUUAUUCCAAGAAUUGGGCUCCCUAAAUAAGUGGCCUGACAGAGGRUACAGGGAGGGAGAACCAAGAAGGCUACUGAGAGCUUGGCAGCUCCUCUUCAUUUCAGUGAUAGUGCCUGGGCUGCUCAGCACUUGAAACAGAUAGUUAUUUUUGAGCCUAAACAUGGAUUUAGGGGCUUUACUCCAGGACCACUUCCUUGGAAGGCUUGAUUCUAAAAUAAUUUCAUAUACCAAAAGAAAAAAAAAAAAAAAAAAAAAAAAAAAAAAAAAAAAAAGGCAACAGCCACAAAUGACAGCUUGGGAGUUCAGGUCGGACAUUAAAAAAAAGUUUUCAAUAGGAUAGUAGUGCAGCACUGGCACAGGCUACCUAGAGGGUUAUGAGAUCUCCAUCUUUGGAUGUAUUUAACACUCUGCCAGACAAAGCCUGAGCUAGUGUUGGUGUUAGCCCUGAUUCUGACACAGUGCUGGACUAGAUGACCUUCAGUUGUCCCUUCCAACCAACUAGGAUGCUGCGGUUACUGAUUUGAAUAGAAAUGUCAUUUGUUACUCAAACAGAGUUGCUUUCUGAUACUUCUUACAAGAAGUUUGGCUUCCCUCAAGCCACAAUCUGAGCGAUGUUGGGAUUGCAGAGAAGCUUUCACACAUAGUGAUCAUUUCUCAUUUACGCAAAGACAUAAGGACAGUUAUUGGAAUAGUACUACCCAGACAUUAUGAAAUCGCUUGAGCAUAAACUACAUUACAGCUUAGCUGUUAUUUAAAUAGCUAGAAGUGAUUCAAAAUGCAGAAUGUAAUUUGACUUCUUGGUAAAAUGCAUUUUGCAAUGCUUAUUGGCAAGUCAAGGGUUUAAGUUCUGCUAUGUACAUCAAAACAAUCCCUCUGGGGUAAUCUCCACUUCCUUUCCUUAGAUCCUGCUCCUCAGCAGGGCUGACUUCUGUAGCUUCAUCCAGCAAAGCACACAUCCAGCUUUCUCACUGUCUUUGAGGCAUACCUCCCCAUAUCGGGGAGGGGGGGGCCGUAUGGGAACAACAGCUGAGCAAGUCAGGUGUGCUCCAGGAGCAGGGCAGUGUUUAACCUUCUAUAGGAUUGAGCCCUCAUUCUCAAAGUAUCCUCCUGGCUCUUAUGUGGAUAAUGGUGGAACAGUGUGUUAUUGGAGGUAAACUCAAGGUUUUGGCAAAUUUUCAUUUUAAGACAGUUCAAGUGAAGAGCUCUAACUUGGGGUGCUAAAAUCUCACUUAAUCUCACUUAAGAGAUUACUUAAUAUAAUCAUUAGCUGUGAGACCUCUUCUUCUGAACUACCCAGUAUUUUCUAUCCAUGCACAUUUUACCUGUAUUUGGAAAAGGACCCAUGUCAAAACAUUUCAUCUUGGCACCCCUCCAUGAUAACAACUGUUUUUAAACAGCCAGUUGCAAUGUUCUUCAUAAGGCAAAUCAAGUUUUCAUGACCAGGGUUAGCAGCCCAUGUCUCUUACAAUAAACAUAUGCUAGCAGAAACA